This 293-nucleotide ribosomal RNA is filed under the name uncultured bacterium. RNAcentral describes it as "partial 16S ribosomal RNA". It matches the Rfam family "Archaeal small subunit ribosomal RNA", at positions 455 to 747 of the family's 1478-position model. The record is from RNAcentral.
GUGCCAGCCGCCGCGGUAAUACCGGCAGCCCGAGUGAUGGCCGAUCUUAUUGGGCCUAAAGCGUCCGUAGCUGGCCGCGCAAGUCCGUCGGGAAAUCCAUCAGCCCAACUGAUGGGCGUCCGGCGGAAACUGCACGGCUUGGGACCGGAAGGCUCGAGAGGUACGUCCGGGGUAGGAGUGAAAUCCUGUAAUCCCGCACGGACCACCGAUGGCGAAAGCACCUCGAGAAGACGGCUCCGACGGUGAGGGACGAAAGCCAGGGUCUCGAACCGGAUUAGAUACCCGGGUAGUCC